Long non-coding RNA from Lycium barbarum (goji berry), 1842 nucleotides. RefSeq lists it as uncharacterized. Lineage: Eukaryota; Viridiplantae; Streptophyta; Magnoliopsida; Solanales; Solanaceae. The transcript has 5 exons. The record is from RefSeq and is a predicted model, not a curated record.
CUCCCUACCGCCGCUCCCCCUCUCUACCUAUCCUCGCUCUCUCCCACUCCUCCUUCUCUCUUUCUUCAACACAAAGCAAAACCCUAUAAAUAGUGGCGGGUUGAAUCGUUUGAGGACAAGUUUCCAGUGGUCAAAAAUCCCUUGAAAAUUAAAGUUUGGGGAACAGAUCUAAAAAAAAAAAAACUGUUUAAGUCUUCAGUGGCUAAAAUCCUCUAAAAAAGAGUUUCCGGUGGUCAAAGAAUCCCUUGAAAAUAGUUCUGGAAUCGCAAGAAUCCCCCUACAAAAUACAAGUGUUUAAUCGCUCAAGUCCCCUUUUAAAAAACACUAGUUUUAAUUUUAUUGAUAUCGUCUCAAGACGCUAAAUCCUGUUCUGUUUUUUUUUUUUUACCUCAGCAUUUGUUCGAAUCUGAGUGCUCGAGAGCUCGGAGUUUGUUUGUUUCGAGGCAGUUCGGAGAUUCGACGCCUCACUUCGCUGCACCCGAAGAAGGUUUGGGCUUGGGAGCGAAUUAUACCGAUGCAGCCACCACCCAGGGCCCUUCAGCGACACACGACUCUUGCACGAAAGUGGACUUAUCGUAAAGCUCGCGAAAAUGAGGCACGUGUUGUGCUACCCAUAUGUAGGGAUGUAUUGGACAACCUAACAGAUGGUCAGUUUGUGUGGCAGCCUUAUUCAGAGGCCAUCAUUAAUGGACUCCCUGAGUGGUGUCGGCAUGGACGAGUUAUUUGGGUGGCGCAGGUUCGGUAGGAAGCAACAUAUUCCGGGACCAUGUGCUGAGAUUGAUCUGUUUCAUUACAAAUGUGACAAGCGGUAUGCUAUAACAGUGGAGGAUCAACAAAAGUUUACACAAACGGAAUUUUUGUGGGAAAAUCGUUGACAAGCGGUAUGCUAUAACAGUGGAGGAUCAACAAAAUUUUACACAAACUGAAUUUUUGUGGGAAAAUCCUCGACAAAGGGUAAUUCUGGCUGAGUAUGAAACUCAAGACCCAGAGUCAUUAUCUGAGUAUUUUUGUUGGUAUCGACGUCACUCGCGCACUUUCAUAGGAAAUCUUGCGCAUAAAGUGGAUAGAGGAUACCAACACAUGGCAGGCAGGCAUGAGGCACUGGCUUUAGGACAUCAAGAAUCGUACAGGUUGGCUCAGCAGACUAUCCAAGAUCCAACCAAGUCUAAUGAAGUGAAGGAAAUAGCAGAGAUGUUUAGCCACAUUAAUACAGAGUCCAUGGCUGCUGCCUCUCUGGGGACGAUGUUGAGUUUCGCUCCCAAUUAUACACCACCAGCAGAGUAUGUUGAGCCGCCUACUGUGCAAGUGCCUCGUCAUCAACGUCCUAAUGUACCAAGACCUGCGGCGCGUGGUAGAGGACGCUAAUCAGGUAACAGACGGGGUCGAGGUCCCGUGGAUCACCAGUUGGUUGAUGAGGAAGAGGUUUGUUUUGAUCAAGAUAUGCCCAGCUCAACGAUGCCUGCAGCUGAUGAUGCAUAUUACCCAAUAAUAGAUUUUAUUUCCAGCUCAUCGACGUCUGCUCCCGAGGUUCAAUCACCAGCGGUAAUCAGAAGUGAGGGGCCUUUUCAGGCAUUCACAUCGUAUGAGCCUAUUAGCCUCGCAGUUAUGGCCCAACAGUUUGGUGUUCAGACAAACAGCUCUUAUGGGAUGACUGAGGGGCCUUGCAUUCACUGCACAGAGCUCUUCAAUUGGGAGGAGACUGAGUUUUACCGACGAUGCGGGUGUGAUACAAGAGGAGGUUCACCAACGUAGAUCAAAACGAGAGCGCCGGCAAACUCGGUGUGGCACGGAGGGGGGGGAAGGGACACUGUAAAAAUUAAAUUUUUUAUUAAUUAUUGAAUU